Molecule: ribosomal RNA, 424 nt
Filed under: uncultured bacterium
Lineage: Bacteria
Description: bacterial SSU rRNA
Rfam family: Bacterial small subunit ribosomal RNA
Source: RNAcentral
GAAUUGUUCGCAAUGGGCGCAAGCCUGACGACGCAACGCCGCGUGGAGGAUGAAGGUCUUCGGAUUGUAAACUCCUGUUGCUCGGGACGAAAAGCUUCGACCUAACACGUCGAGGUCUGACGGUACCGAGUGAGGAAGCCCCGGCUCACUCCGUCCCACCAGCCGCGGUAAUACAGAGGGGGCAAGCGUUGUUCGGAAUUACUGGGCGUAAAGGGCGCGUAGGCGGCCUGCUAAGUCGAACGUGAAAUCCCUGGGCUCAACCCAGGAACUGCGUCCGAUACUGGUUGGCUUGAAUCCGGGAGAGGGACGUGGAAUUCCAGGUGUAGCGGUGAAAUGCGUAGAUAUCUGGAGGAACACCGGUGGCGAAGGCGACGUCCUGGACCGGCAUUGACGCUGAGGCGCGAAAGCCAGGGGAGCAAACGGG